GACGAACGCUGGCGGCGUGCCUAAUACAUGCCAGUAGAACGCUGAAGGAGGAGCUUGCUUCUCUGGAUGAGUUGCGAACGGGUGAGUAACGCGUAGGUAACCUGCCUGGUAGCGGGGGAUAACUAUUGGAAACGAUAGCUAAUACCGCAUAAUAGUAGAUGUUGCAUGACAUUUGCUUAAAAGGUGCAAUUGCAUCACUACCAGAUGGACCUGCGUUGUAUUAGCUAGUUGGUGGGGUAACGGCUCACCAAGGCGACGAUACAUAGCCGACCUGAGAGGGUGAUCGGCCACACUGGGACUGAGACACGGCCCAGACUCCUACGGGAGGCAGCAGUAGGGAAUCUUCGGCAAUGGACGGAAGUCUGACCGAGCAACGCCGCGUGAGUGAAGAAGGUUUUCGGAUCGUAAAGCUCUGUUGUAAGAGAAGAACGAGUGUGAGAGUGGAAAGUGCACACUGUGACGGUAUCUUACCAGAAAGGGACGGCUAACUACGUG
RNAcentral lists this ribosomal RNA (495 nucleotides) under uncultured bacterium. RNAcentral's name for it is "partial 16S ribosomal RNA". It matches the Rfam family "Bacterial small subunit ribosomal RNA", at positions 28 to 507 of the family's 1533-position model. The record is from RNAcentral.